UUCAGAAUGAGUCAAACUGAAGGCUCAUAAAUGAAUGGAGCAGCAAACACUUCAUCUGAGACCUUUUGAUUUCUGUCUAUCAAUGACUUAGCAGUUUGUAUGAACGUGACUUUGUUGUGAGCAAGCAGUUGCAGCCAAAGGUAUUAGUUCCCCCUGCAUCCUCUGACUAUGAUCAGACUGGUGAUUUUGUGUUCGUGAGAUCUGUGACCUGGCUGUUUUGAGAAUCUGUGUGACAUGAGGUCAAUAAUGAAUGACUGAAGAGUAAGUGAACAGGCCUACUAAACAAAUAUUCAAAUUAAAACACAACUAGAUUAAAAAUCCUUACACCUGCGAUCCUCUAUAUAUGCAAAUGAUUCAGUAGGGAGGAUCAGAGUCACUCAGACACUCACAGGACUGUGUUAUAAACUGAAUCCUCAGUCAGUGUUUAUGUUCUGCUGCAGUGUAGAUAAAUAUCUUCUUAUUCUCUUCAUUUGACAGUUUUAUGGUGAUAAUGGAAAUGUUACUUUAUGGAGUUCUCCUGAUGAUUAUUUCAAGUGUUAGUGGUCAGUCUUUGACCUCCUCAGAUUCUGUGGUGAAAAGACCAGGAGAAUCAGUCACUCUGUCCUGCAGUGCAUCUGGAAUCUCAAUGAGCAGAUACUGGAUGCACUGGAUCCGUCAGAAACCAGGGAGAGGACUGGAGUGGAUCGGUCAUAUUGACGGUGGCACUGGCACUGGUUUUGCUCAGUCUCUACAAGGCCAGCUCUCCAUCACAAAAGACACCAGCAAAAACAUGCUGUAUUUAGAGGUGAAAAGCCUGAAGACUGAAGACACAGCUGUUUAUUACUGUGCAAGAGAUUCACAGUUACACAAAAAACUGCAGGGCUGAACAAAAACUAUUC
Non-coding RNA from Megalobrama amblycephala (Wuchang bream), 878 nucleotides. NCBI's taxonomy places the organism in Eukaryota, Metazoa, Chordata, Actinopteri, Cypriniformes, Xenocyprididae. The record is from the annotation of a RefSeq genome assembly.